ACUCCUACGGGAGGCAGCAGUCGAGAAUCAUUCACAAUGGGGGCAACCCUGAUGGUGCAACGCCGCGUGGAGGAUGAAGGUCUUCGGAUUGUAAACUCCUGUCAUCUAGGAGCAAGGCAUGGUGGUGAAUAGCCAACAUGAUUGAUAGUACUAGAAGAGGAAGGGACGGCUAACUUCGUG
This 180-nucleotide ribosomal RNA is filed under the name uncultured bacterium. RNAcentral describes it as "partial small subunit ribosomal RNA". It matches the Rfam family "Bacterial small subunit ribosomal RNA", at positions 335 to 507 of the family's 1533-position model. The record is from RNAcentral.